RNAcentral lists this ribosomal RNA (600 nucleotides) under Kocuria sp. XY-4. RNAcentral describes it as "bacterial SSU rRNA". It matches the Rfam family "Bacterial small subunit ribosomal RNA", at positions 123 to 735 of the family's 1533-position model. The record is from RNAcentral. Lineage: Bacteria; Bacillati; Actinomycetota; Actinomycetes; Micrococcales; Micrococcaceae.
AACCUGCCCUUGACUCUGGGAUAAGCCUGGGAAACUGGGUCUAAUACUGGAUACUACCUCUUGCCGCAUGGUGGGUGGUGGAAAGGGUUUUACUGGUUUUGGAUGGGCUCACGGCCUAUCAGCUUGUUGGUGGGGUAAUGGCUCACCAAGGCGACGACGGGUAGCCGGCCUGAGAGGGUGACCGGCCACACUGGGACUGAGACACGGCCCAGACUCCUACGGGAGGCAGCAGUGGGGAAUAUUGCACAAUGGGCGGAAGCCUGAUGCAGCGACGCCGCGUGAGGGAUGACGGCCUUCGGGUUGUAAACCUCUUUCAGUAGGGAAGAAGCGAGAGUGACGGUACCUGCAGAAGAAGCGCCGGCUAACUACGUGCCAGCAGCCGCGGUAAUACGUAGGGCGCAAGCGUUGUCCGGAAUUAUUGGGCGUAAAGAGCUCGUAGGCGGUUUGUCGCGUCUGCUGUGAAAGCCCGGGGCUCAACCCCGGGUCUGCAGUGGGUACGGGCAGACUAGAGUGCAGUAGGGGAGACUGGAAUUCCUGGUGUAGCGGUGAAAUGCGCAGAUAUCAGGAGGAACACCGAUGGCGAAGGCAGGUCUCUGGGCU